This is a long non-coding RNA of Vombatus ursinus (common wombat), 571 nucleotides long. RefSeq lists it as uncharacterized. The transcript is spliced from 3 exons. The record is from RefSeq and is a predicted model, not a curated record. Lineage: Eukaryota; Metazoa; Chordata; Mammalia; Diprotodontia; Vombatidae.
GAUUAAAAAAAUAUACCCCAACCCCAAGCCUCAGGAUUGCAGCUGUUUAAUGUGGGCCAGCAGUCCUACCAGGAACACUUCGCCUGGAGAAACCUGGACCGGCCUUUCGGGUGUGUGUCUGCGAGAGACAGGGGUUUCUUCUAUUUCCUCGCUCCCCUCUUGUUAUUGUGGAGCCUGCCUGAGAGGAUGAGAGCCCGGACCUCCCUGUAGUUGUCCAGUUUGGGAUCGUGGAGAGAAGGAGCCAGUACGUCUCGGAGAAGAGUGGCUUUAUUUAUAUAGAAGAAAACUGCACAAUUUAAUUUUUCCUUCCCUUGCCUUUUGCCCCGGGGAGCCUGCAGACACGAUGGCAAAACUGACCAUUGGAUUGGAGAAGUGAUCUGUUCAACAAACACCUUUUCUGGAUAUGCUAAUCACCUCCUGCGAAUCUCCCAUGUAACAAGGAAAAACAAUAAUGCAAAACCAGCUGACACAGUGAACAUAUUUGAAAAUGUAUACAGUAUCCCCCUUACAUUAUUACUCCUUCUCCAGUGAAAGAGGCAAGUUUCCUGAGGUACCGCAUCACACCUAUCAG